Poecilia reticulata (guppy) is the source of this 931-nucleotide non-coding RNA. The record is from RefSeq and is a predicted model, not a curated record. Lineage: Eukaryota; Metazoa; Chordata; Actinopteri; Cyprinodontiformes; Poeciliidae.
CAAAGAGUGAAAGAUGGUCUUUGUCCAGGAUUUCCAGCUUUUUCAAACCUUCAACCCCAGUGGUGAAGGUCCACUACACUCCUACCAGUGAUACAUUUGGUGCUGAUGCUGCCAUAAUGAAACAGUUGAAGAACAACUUAGAGUCAUCAAUGCUGUUGGAAGAAACAACCAGGAGGAACUGCAGCGUCAUCAUCGUCUUCUGUCCAGUCAGCAAUAGUUUUGAAUCUGAUAUAAAGUUGACCAUGAAAAAAGAAGUCUCAUCAUCUGGUAAACCAGUCAUUCUGGUUCUGAUGCAUCACACCAGAGACCCGGACUAUUCCACUGCAGGAUGUGACGCCUCUGAAGUUCUGAAAAAUGUGUUUUAUGUCCAUGUUUUUUACCAUGAGACUGUAAAAGGAUUACUGACAUGUAAUCAAAAUGACACGGCAAUCAAGGCCAUUGAAAAAAAACUGAAAACCUACAAGCAAUAGAUAACAUUAGCUUUUUGUGGCUAUAUCAGUCUUGUUUUAAUUUUCUUAUCCCAAUACAUUUCUGCAGAUACCAUAACAGCAUGUCAUCAAUUACUGAUGGAAUAAAAGAAGAAAAACUUUGAAUUACUGAGCUUCUGACUGCAAACAGAUCAUUUUUCUUCCAACUGUUUUCAAUUCUAUUUUUUCUGAAUAUGUUUCACUCUGACAAUGUAUUUUACAGCAAACUACAAGCAUUUUGAUUUCAUGUAAGUUUUAGGGCUGAAACUAAUCGGUAAAAUAAAAUAAAACAAUAAAAGAAGAUAAACAAAUGUACAGGAGAUUUUCUGUUCUGGGUUUGUUCCACAGUUAACUUCAUGCUGUAAAACUGCAGUCAGUUUUUUCCUCAACCUCAUACUGAGAGACUUUGAAUGUUAUGCAGAUUUGAAAAAUGGAAAAGGUGGAAAUAAAUGUAGUAUUUCUAU